This 477-nucleotide ribosomal RNA is filed under the name Starmerella bombi. RNAcentral describes it as "eukaryotic LSU rRNA". It matches the Rfam family "Eukaryotic large subunit ribosomal RNA", at positions 76 to 657 of the family's 3401-position model. Lineage: Eukaryota; Fungi; Ascomycota; Dipodascomycetes; Dipodascales; Trichomonascaceae. The record is from RNAcentral.
UGCUUAGUAGCGGCGAGUGAACAGGCAAGAGCUCAGAUUUGAAAGCCUUUCGGGGCAUUGUAUUCUGAAGCCUUGGUCCUGGGAAACCGAUGUCUAAGUCUUCUGGAAAGGAGCGCCAUGGAGGGUGAUAGCCCCGUACGACAUUGACCCCACUGUAGGACCUUGGCAUGGAGUCGAGUUGUUUGGGAAUGCAGCUCAAAUGGGUGGUAUGCUCCAUCUAAAGCUAAAUAUCUGCGAGAGACCGAUAGCGAACAAGUACUGUGAAGGAAAGAUGAAAAGAACUUUGAAAAGAGAGUGAAAAAGUACGUGAAAUUGUUGAAAUGGAAGGGUAGGCCGCUAACCACGUAGAGUCGUGUUUGGGGGGAAGAUAAAAGCUGAAGAAUGUAACUCCUUGGAGUAUUAUAGCUUCAGUCCAUAUUCCCACCCGAGCGCGAGGACUUAAGACUCUGCUAAAUGGUGGUCUACCACCCGUCUUGA